UACAGAGGUCUCAAGCGUUGUUCGGAUUCAUUGGGCGUAAAGGGUGCGUAGGUGGCGCCGUAAGUCAGGUGUGAAAUUUCGGAGCUUAACUCCGAAACUGCAUUUGAUACUGCGGUGCUUGAGGACUGGAGAGGAGACUGGAAUUUACGGUGUAGCAGUGAAAUGCGUAGAGAUCGUAAGGAAGACCAGUGGCGAAGGCGGUUCUCUGGGCCUUACCUGACGCUGAGGAGCGAAAGCGUGGGGAGCGAACAGG
Molecule: ribosomal RNA, 253 nt
Filed under: uncultured bacterium
Lineage: Bacteria
Description: partial 16S ribosomal RNA
Rfam family: Bacterial small subunit ribosomal RNA
Source: RNAcentral